GACCUCAGAUCAGGUAGGGCUACCGCCUGAACUUAAGCAUAUCAAUAAGGCGAGGAACAGAAACCAACAGGGAUUCCCCUAGUAGUGGCGAAUGAAGCGGGAAAAGCUCAAGUUUGAAAUCUGAAGUUUACUUCAGAGUUGUAAGCUGAAGAGGUGUCGACCGACCUGGUCCGGGCCCAAUUUCCUUGGAACAGGAGGUCAUGGAGGGUGAGAACCCCGUCUGUGGCUCGGGUGCUGUGGUCCUUGUGUCGUGCCCUCGAAGAGUCGGGUUGUUUGGGAAUGCAGCUCAAAAUGGGUGGUAAAUUUCAUCUAAGGCUAAAUAUUGGCGAGAGACCGAUAGCAAACAAGUAGAGUGAUCGAAAGAUGAAAAGUACUUUGAAAAGAGAGUGAAACAGUACGUGAAAUUGUUGAAAGGGAAGCGU
This 422-nucleotide ribosomal RNA is filed under the name uncultured fungus. Its description in RNAcentral is "eukaryotic LSU rRNA". It matches the Rfam family "Eukaryotic large subunit ribosomal RNA", at positions 1 to 422 of the family's 3401-position model. Lineage: Eukaryota; Fungi. The record is from RNAcentral.